Molecule: long non-coding RNA, 1475 nt
Organism: Python bivittatus (Burmese python)
Lineage: Eukaryota; Metazoa; Chordata; Lepidosauria; Squamata; Pythonidae
Source: RefSeq, a predicted model, not a curated record
CGUCUCGGCUCUCUUAGCCAGGAGGGCGCGCCGGGUUCGGGCGGGUCUGGGUCUGCGAAGCCUAGUGUGUAAGCCCUGAGGUGAACGGGGGGCUUCCUUCGCAGCAAGCACGCACGUUGACACGCGUGGCCGUGACAGCCCUGGAGCCCUUUGGCCGCGAGGCCCGGCGUGGAGGAUGCUCCGGUUCAGCCCCCAGUGAAGGCCGGGGUACCUCGAUCCUCGACCCCCUGAAAGAGUCUUGGGGACCCCCAGGUUUCCCCAAGCCACGCUUGGAAAACUGCUGCCCUAGAACAACCAGUGAGGUGGAUUGGACUGAGAGAGAUUGACAGGUUCAAGCCCACCUGGGCAGCUUCAUAGCUGAGGGGAAAGCUGACACACACCCACACAGGGCCCCAGCCCUAGUCAAACCUUCUAAUGACAGCAUCCCUGGAUUGCAGGUGGCUCUUCUGGAGCAUGCUAAAGUGAUCACACUAUAUUCCUGGAAUUGGUACCGGUUGACCUGGAUUGAAUUUAUCCUCAGUAAUGGGCCUGUUAGUCAAGUUUUAUGUUUAGAAAGCAGUAGUAGAAUAUGCAUAACAAAGUAAUGGUCCAUUACAUAGGAAAUGAAAGGUAAUUAUGAAGCGAGUCACCUCCUGUUGAUUACUUCUUUCAAUUAGAAGUGCUUAUGAUUCUAUAUAGAUAAUGCUAGCUCAGAGGACAAGGACAUGCUUGCUUAAUCUAUUUGUAGAAUUGAAAGCAAGUAUUCUUUAGACAUCAAGUAGUCAAAGACCUUCUACUGACAUCAGAGCUGAACUAUGAAUUCCAAAUUUGAACUGUUUGUUCUCUAAGAGAUAACUGAUUUACAGUCAGGUGCUGUUUACCAGUAUAAAACCUGUUUGUUAUAGAAAUAUGUCUGACACUGAUUUUAAGUGGGUGGAGUAGGGGGUGGCAAUUGCAAUGACAGUCACUUUUUGCAAAUUCCUUUGUAAGGAAAAAAUGUAAAGACUAUAAUCUGAUCUUAUAUUGGCACAAGACCAGAAAGGUCAAUUGGUCAAGAAAUCAUCUUGGGCUCUCAUCAGUUUUUGACAAAUCAGUUUUGUUGUUGUUUUUAAAUAACUGCUCAUAUCUUAUCUUGAAUUAAUUAUUGAGACACAACAUUUGAAUUAGGAAAGUCCUUGUGCUUUAAAUGAUAUGCUUCACCAACUGCUGUUGGUUAUCUGCUGAAAUCCACAUCCCAGCUGAGAAGCAGAGUCCUCUAAAUUCCUAGAUGCUCCUGGACCUGUUGCUCUUCCAUCCUGAUGACUUCUCACAUGCCCUCCCUGUACAAUCAAACAGUGGAGAGAAUGAACAGUAAAAAUUGAACAUUUGGCUCUGUCUUCUAGAAUAUGGUGUUGAUUGAACCAGAGGAGGAAUGAGUAAUUAAGUAGUGCAGAUGAGAUGGUGCUCCUCCCCUUGAUUUUGUCUAAAGGGACUUUAAAAGAUGGACCAGCUACCAU